AGAGUUUGAUCCUGGCUCAGGAUGAACGCUAGCGGCAGGCCUAACACAUGCAAGUCGAGGGGUAACAGAUAAAAAGCUUGCUUUUUAUGCUGACGACCGGCGCACGGGUGAGUAACGCGUAUGCAACCUACCUUUUACUGGAAGAUAGCCCCGAGAAAUCGGGAUUAAUACUCCAUAUUAUUAUUGAUAUCGCAUGAUAUUAUAAUUAAAGCUCCGGCGGUAAAAGAUGGGCAUGCGUGACAUUAGUUUGUUGGUAAGGUAACGGCUUACCAAGACUUCGAUGUCUAGGGGUUCUGAGAGGAUUGUCCCCCACACUGGUACUGAGACACGGACCAGACUCCUACGGGAGGCAGCAGUGAGGAAUAUUGGUCAAUGGUCGAAAGACUGAACCAGCCAUGCCGCGUGCAGGAUGACGGCGCUAUGCGUUGUAAACUGCUUUUCUACAGGAAGAAACCUACUUACGUGUAAGUAGCUGCCGGUACUGUAGGAAUAAGCACCGGCUAACUCCGUGCCAGCAGCCGCGGUAAUACGGAGGGUGCAAGCGUUAUCCGGAUUUAUUGGGUUUAAAGGGUACGUAGGCGGAAUAUUAAGUCAGUGGUGAAAUCCUGCGGCUCAACCGUAGAACUGCCAUUGAUACUGAUGUUCUUGAAUAUAGUUGAGGUAGGCGGAAUGUGUAAUGUAGCGGUGAAAUGCUUAGAUAUUACACAGAACACCGAUUGCGAAGGCAGCUUACUAAACUAUUAUUGACGCUGAUGUACGAAAGCGUGGGGAGCGAACAGGAUUAGAUACCCUGGUAGUCCACGCUGUAAACGAUGAUCACUCGUUGUUUGCGAUAUAUUGUAAGCGACUGAGCGAAAGCAUUAAGUGAUCCACCUGGGGAGUACGUUCGCAAGAAUGAAACUCAAAGGAAUUGACGGGGGCCCGCACAAGCGGAGGAACAUGUGGUUUAAUUCGAUGAUACGCGAGGAACCUUACCUGGGCUUAAA
This 986-nucleotide ribosomal RNA is filed under the name invertebrate metagenome. RNAcentral describes it as "bacterial SSU rRNA". It matches the Rfam family "Bacterial small subunit ribosomal RNA", at positions 8 to 985 of the family's 1533-position model. The record is from RNAcentral.